This is a long non-coding RNA of Suricata suricatta (meerkat), 1286 nucleotides long. RefSeq lists it as uncharacterized. The record is from RefSeq and is a predicted model, not a curated record. NCBI's taxonomy places the organism in Eukaryota, Metazoa, Chordata, Mammalia, Carnivora, Herpestidae. The transcript has 4 exons.
AGUCCGUUAAUAAUCGCGCAGUACGCUCUCUCAACGGGUCAGCCAUGGCCUACCCUGGGUGGGAGGGCCGACCUGAGGCUGUUUUCUAGGCCUGGCUGCGCCUCCGCCCAGGGAGGGGCCGCCACGCCCCUCCCCAUUACCGCAGGGCAGUUUUCUCUAGGUCCGAAGAGGAGACUGAUGGGAAUCCCAUGUGCACCUGUUCUGGUCUCAAAGACCAGGCCCAGUGAUGUGCACGCGUUGGCAGAGAGAGGGGAAACAGAGUGAGACUUCUUUGGGGUUACUGUUUAGUUCUGGGCCUGGGGACUAAGAAUCUAGAGGGGACAGGUUGGGAAGUUGGGCUAGAUUUUUGCCUCCUUUUAAGGAGAAAUUGACACAGGCUACACAUAGUCCCUUGCAAGGAUUAGCGGCAUCUCCCGAUUGGACAGAAGCACUCAGAUUGGACCCAGACUGAUCCAGAAUUGGUACCAGCAGUGAAAAUUCUGGGGGUUCAGAGGUCUGGAGUAUGUUGAAAUAUCCCACCCAGGGUGAAAGAUGAAGUUCCUGCAUCUUGUAUCAUUUACAAGAAAAAAGAGAAAUGGCCAUGAGUCAGCCUACUGUGGAGUCUGAUCAGUCCUGAAGGCCAGCCUAGCUCCAGCCAUGUCCCAUCUAGAGAAUGAAGGUUCUGUGCUAUAUGCGUUAAAGAGUGAUUUGAUUCUCUCCUAUCACGGGUGAGAGGUUUUUCUCAGCAGGAAAAUUUGGGAAAUGCAGAUCUAGACAUUUCUGCUCAGCCAGCACUCCAGAGCUUGGGAGGAAGCCAGCUGGCAGCAAUACGGCCCCAACUCCAACCCCAGUUAAUCUAACAUAUCUGCGGCCUAUCUACGGGGUGACCCCAGGAUCCCACGUGCCCUCCUCUUAAAAGAUUUUCAGCAGUCCACAGGCCCCAGUUGGCCUCUAGCCUUUCCCAACUGCCUCUCUGUGCCCCUUUGGAACCUCCUCUGAGGGCCUCUCCUCCAGCCCCUCUCAAAGACCCUCAUCCCCACCCCCCUUUUUUCCCCAAGCUCCUUAAGGGCCUUACUGCCCUCAGGGGGUUCUCACACAGUGGUGCUUAAAAGGGUAUCAUUAGCCUCAUAAGCUGUUUUAAAAGUAUUGUCCCAAUCCCCGAGACCCUUUCAGGCGAUCCCCCAAGGUCAAAACUAUGUUCAUAAUAAGACUCUCUUUUAGUAUUUGUAUCUUUUAAGACUCUCAUUCUCUGGGGGAGGGAUCCAGAGGCUACUACUAUCUGGUAAAAGCAUCACCAAUGGAAUAUA